Molecule: long non-coding RNA, 455 nt
Organism: Odocoileus virginianus texanus
Lineage: Eukaryota; Metazoa; Chordata; Mammalia; Artiodactyla; Cervidae
Source: RefSeq, a predicted model, not a curated record
GGAGGAAAGCGGCAGUUGGUCAAGUCCCUCUCACACUCUUGUACAGCCACUUAACGCCUGUGUCUGGAAGAGUCUGGUGGAUUUCAGUUCUGAAGACCCAGCCGGGGAGAGAUUUCACGACUUGUUCACACUUUUGUUGCCAGCGUCUGAGUGAAGACUUGCACCCUGGAGUUGUAUCUCUAAGGAUAAAGUCUUCAGCAUCUUGAUCUUCCCUUAGUACCAAAGGACAGAUUCAAACAAGGAAAUAGGGAAUGCAAAAACAAAGGAGGAACAAUCAAGAAACUACAGUGCUGGACGAGCAAGGUCCUGGUUCCUCCUCAGGGAAUAUACAUAAUAAUUACCUUUGAGUUCUACCGGAACUAAGGCCCCACCCAAGUGAAGGUGCAGAUGGUGACGGCAGCCAUGAAAUAAAAGGACACUCACUCCUUGGAAGAAAAGUUCUGACCAGCUAAAUA